UUUUAGGGCCACACUUGUGGGAUAUGAAGGUUCCUAGGCUAGGGGUCCAAUUGGAGCUAUAGCUGCUGGCCUGUGCCACAGCCACAGCAACACAGGAUCUAAGCCUCUUCUGCAGUCUACACCACAGCUCGCUCAUGGCAACACCAGAGCCUUAACCCAAUGAGCGAGGCCAGGGAUCGAACCUGUGUCGUUAUGGAUACUAGUCAGAUCUGUUUCUGCCGAGUUACAAUGAGAACUCCAAUUACCUUAUUCUUGUAAUUUAGUAAAUUUAGCUCAAAAAGAUCCACAAAUUUAGAAUAUGGUUUUGCCAGAAUCUUCACAGGCUGACCAGGCAUUGUAGUUCUGCUUUGAGCUAUGUUCAGAAAUUUGUUCUUAAGAUUUUGUGGUUUAUUUAAAUACUUUACCACCAAAGAGAUUCCCAGGAAAUUAAAUGCUUUCAGGUUGACCUUGUAAAGCUGUAAUCUCUCAUUUUGCAUGUCCAAUUAGUAGCAGAGCUUGUUUAGGGCACAAGCUGCCAUUUAAGGGCCUUGUGAAGUCCUACAUUCAUAUGUCCAGUUCAUUCAUAUGUCACAUCCACAGAAGACUGCUGGCCUUACUUUCAGUCUACUGAGGCAACGUAACUGUGUUCUGUUGCAUCAGUUUUCAGCAGUAGCUGUUCCCCUACUCAUUUCUCUCCUACACUCCUGAUGCUAGAAUUUCUGAUGUUUUAUUAACUUUAAUUCAUUUUUAACUCCCUUGUAUAAUAUAUUUCCCUCUACUAAAUAUUAUCCAUUUGAUAACCCCUCCUAUUCAGUCUAAAUAGGAAAAUGUUUAGAUAGACAUGUCUGAGAAAUUGACAUCUAUAAGUUCAUUUCCAGGAUGAUACAUGGUUCUGAACAGUAUUGAGUUGUAAUGUUGUCAACAUAAUUCAUCUAAAGAGGAUAAAUAAUUUAUUCUCAUGGGGAUAAUUUUGUUUAGGAGAGAUGACUUUCUUUGCCUGGGCCCAACUAAGAUAUAAGAAGGAGACUGGCAAUGCACUUGUUUUCUCUAAGUCUACAAAUCUUGGCAAAAUAAUUUUCCUUUAUCUUUUUAUACAUUUUAAAAAUAGAUAAUUUAGAAUAUCAAUGUGAGGUUGCCAUUUCUUAAUAGAAAAUGGGUGAAUGCAUACUCCUACAAUAGAAAAUAAAAUAAUAAUGCUUUAAAACGGGCAUUGGCAAAUUGCGGACAGUGGGUCAAAUUUGGCCUGCAGCCUCUUUCUGUAUGACCCAUGAGUAACCAUGGUUUUUACAUUUUUAAAGUUGUAAACACACACGUACAUACACACACACCAGAACCAAAUCCGACUAGGAACCAUGAGGUCGUGGGUUUGAUCCCCGGCCUCGUUCAGUGGGUUAAGGAUCUGGCAUGGCCAUGAGCUGUGGUAUAGCUUGCAGAUGCAGCUUGGAUCCUGCAUUGCUGCAGCUGUGGCAUAGGCUGACAGCUGCAGCUCCGAUUAGACCCCUAACCUGGGAACCUCUAUAUGCCUUGGGCCCAGCCCUAAAAAGUAAAUAAAUAAAUAAAAUAUUUUCUAUGGAAUAGGUAGAUAAAAUUUUAUAUGUAUUACCUCAGUGAAAUCUCAGAGGAAGCUUAAAUGUAUUGAGAAUUGAAGUAUCAUCCCCAUUUUGGGGAUAAGAAAACUGAGAUGUGAAAGGUUAAUAUCACAUACCUUCUAAGUGUCAGAGGUAAGACUUAUACUAAGGCAGUUGGGGAAUUAGAGAUUGUAUCUAUAACCAGUAUACUGUAGCGCUUCAGAAUCUGACCUGACAUCAUUUGUUUGCUUUGGGUGGGUGUGGGUGUGUGUGUGUGUAUGGGGGGGGAGUGUGUGUGUAUGUGUCUGAAUCCCCCUCUUGACAUCAAUCUACAGUUAGUCAAAAUAGGGUGGUGAUUAUGUGAUUGGCAGAAGGCAGAAUAUUGUUUAAACAUAAGACAGGAGUUCCCACUGUGGCACAAAGGGUUAAUGAUCCAGCAUUGCCACAGUUGUGGCAUAGGUUGCAGCUGUGGCUAGGAUUCAAUCCCUGGCCCUGGAAUUUCCAUAUACUGCAGGUGCAUCCCCCCAAACAAACAAACAAACAAACAAACAAAAAAAACAAGACAAAGUAUAUGAGUUUCUAGAAGCAUGUAAAGGGCAAAGCUACUGCACAGAAAUUGGCAAUACAGUGCAGUAAACACAGCAGCACUAUCAGUUGAAUGAGUAAGACGCUCUUGCUCUCAAAUCCCCAUAAAGUUGUCUGCCUACUAAUAAUACUACUUAAUUGGGGUGAUGACUCUUUAGGACACUAUCGUUGACAACCUCAUAGUGGUUUUAUAUGUAAUCCUGGUCCCUCUCAGCUGUUGUCUACAAAUUUAUGCUAUAUGCCUGUCUGCCCAACAUUUGAAAAUACUGUAAUUGGUAACACUUCCAAAGCAUCCUUCAGUGCUAUUGUGACUGGAUAGAUUAAAGGUAAAUUCUGCUUCCACUCCAUUGGCAGGUUUUAGGCUUCAGGUCUGCCUGAAGCAUAUUCCUGCAGUAGACAGUUUGCUCUUUUUUCUGAUAGCUUUUCUUCUCUUACUUGGUUUUUCUAUAUGUAAAUUCCAGGAGAGCUUUGAUUUGUUAUGAAAGAAUUCCUAUCUCUAUUGCAACUUUCUCCUGUGCAUUACUCUGGGCUCUGGCCCCCUCAAUUACAGUUUCUUUGUUGGUUUAAUUUUAUCGCCUUUGGUUUUGCAGGUAUCUGUUAAAAUCUUUAGCUUGUCAUUAUACAUUCAGCACCUUUAUAAAUUUAUUCCUUUUCUAGAUUUAUAGCAUUAUUUCAAGAGGACUUUUGGGAGGGAAAGAGAAGUAAACAUAUGUACCGGCUCCAUCAUUUUGAACUAGAACCUAUCAAAAUUUAUGUGGCAAGGAAAUGCAUUUGGGGAUAUACUGAUAGGUUUCCUUCCACUUGUUUUAUUGCAUUUCUUUGCCUUUAUUUUGGGAGCUUUCCCAUCAGCCCUGGAAUGAUGAAAAUAAGAGAAUCCAAGAAGCAAUUCUUCAUUUUAAGUUCAAAAAUCUAUGAUGGAACACAGAAAACUUUUGGGCAGAUAUAUUAGUUUCUUGUCCCUAGACUAGGAAAGACUCUGUGCAAUGGGAAAGGGAAGAGAAGAGGGACUACAUGGACUGACAUGAUGUCAAUCUCAAGAGAUGACCAAGCUCUGU
This 3187-nucleotide long non-coding RNA is filed under the name Sus scrofa (pig). Its description in RNAcentral is "lncRNA (ENSSSCG00030069774.1)". The record is from RNAcentral. Lineage: Eukaryota; Metazoa; Chordata; Mammalia; Artiodactyla; Suidae.